AGUGAACGCUGGCGGUAGGCCUAACACAUGCAAGUCGAACGGCAGCACAGUAAGAGCUUGCUCUUACGGGUGGCGAGUGGCGGACGGGUGAGGAAUACAUCGGAAUCUACUUUUUCGUGGGGGAUAACGUAGGGAAACUUACGCUAAUACCGCAUACGACCUACGGGUGAAAGCAGGGGAUCUUCGGACCUUGCGCGAUUGAAUGAGCCGAUGUCGGAUUAGCUAGUUGGCGGGGUAAAGGCCCACCAAGGCGACGAUCCGUAGCUGGUCUGAGAGGAUGAUCAGCCACACUGGAACUGAGACACGGUCCAGACUCCUACGGGAGGCAGCAGUGGGGAAUAUUGGACAAUGGGCGCACGCCUGAUCCAGCCAUACCGCGUGGGUGAAGAAGGCCUUCGGGUUGUAAAGCCCUUUUGUUGGGAAAGAAAAGCAGCAGGUUAAUACCCCGCUGUUCUGACGGUACCCAAAGAAUAAGCACCGGCUAACUUCGUG
Molecule: ribosomal RNA, 492 nt
Filed under: uncultured bacterium
Lineage: Bacteria
Description: partial 16S ribosomal RNA
Rfam family: Bacterial small subunit ribosomal RNA
Source: RNAcentral